CCCCUCUCAGGAUCGCACCUGGAGAGUUUCCAAUACUCUACCAGCCUCAACCUCAGGAGGGACAGUCAAGCAGAGGAAUACCCAUUCCAUUCCUAGCUUGGGCAGUGGCUAGCAAGUGGAAGGCAAUCUGCUACAAGU
Molecule: small nucleolar RNA, 138 nt
Organism: Tachyglossus aculeatus (Australian echidna)
Lineage: Eukaryota; Metazoa; Chordata; Mammalia; Monotremata; Tachyglossidae
Source: RefSeq, a predicted model, not a curated record